CCAGCCGGCUGGAUGGCCGCUGCUCUCGAGCAGAGGAAAGUCCGGGCUCCACGGAGACACGGCGCCGGAUAAGGUCCGGCGGGGGCGACCCCAGGGAAAGCGCCACAGAAAGCAAACCGCCACGGUCCUUCGGGCCCGCGGCAAGGGUGAAAGGGUGCGGUAAGAGCGCACCGCUCGGGCGGCGACGUCCGAGGCAUGGCAAGCCCCGCCGGGAGCAAGACCGAAUAGGGGCGAAUUCGGAAGCAGCGAUGUUUCCACGGCCCGUCUCCGGGCCGUCGCCCGGGUUGGUCGCUAGAGGCGGCAGGCAACCGCCGUCCCAGAGGAAUGGCCAUCGCGCGCGGGAGACCGCGCCAUACAGAACCCGGCUUACAGGCCGGCUGGCCCU
This 385-nucleotide RNase P RNA is filed under the name Methylosinus sp. Sm6. RNAcentral describes it as "RNase P RNA component class A". It matches the Rfam family "Bacterial RNase P class A". Rfam says of the family: Ribonuclease P (RNase P) is a ubiquitous endoribonuclease, found in archaea, bacteria and eukarya as well as chloroplasts and mitochondria. Its best characterised activity is the generation of mature 5'-ends of tRNAs by cleaving the 5'-leader elements of precursor-tRNAs. Cellular RNase Ps are ribonucleoproteins. The record is from RNAcentral. Lineage: Bacteria; Pseudomonadati; Pseudomonadota; Alphaproteobacteria; Hyphomicrobiales; Methylocystaceae.